This 42-nucleotide transfer RNA is filed under the name Skeletonema japonicum. Its description in RNAcentral is "partial Selenocysteine transfer RNA". The record is from RNAcentral. Lineage: Eukaryota; Bacillariophyta; Thalassiosirophyceae; Thalassiosirales; Thalassiosiraceae.
GGUGGGUGGUCAAAGGUUGAGGCUUCAAAUCCAGCUUACGGC